AAAGAGUUAGUUUAAUAAAAAAAACUUAAGUUUGUCAAAUUUAAAAUACUUAAUAAGUAUUCUUUU
Molecule: transfer RNA, 66 nt
Filed under: Chanohirata hamata
Lineage: Eukaryota; Metazoa; Arthropoda; Insecta; Hemiptera; Cicadellidae
Description: tRNA-Asp
Source: RNAcentral